This is a transfer RNA of Camelus ferus (Wild Bactrian camel), 73 nucleotides long. It matches the Rfam family "tRNA". Rfam says of the family: Transfer RNA (tRNA) molecules are approximately 80 nucleotides in length. Their secondary structure includes four short double-helical elements and three loops (D, anti-codon, and T loops). Further hydrogen bonds mediate the characteristic L-shaped molecular structure. tRNAs have two regions of fundamental functional importance: the anti-codon, which is responsible for specific mRNA codon recognition, and the 3' end, to which the tRNAs corresponding amino acid is attached (by aminoacyl-tRNA synthetases). tRNAs cope with the degeneracy of the genetic code in two manners: having more than one tRNA (with a specific anti-codon) for a particular amino acid; and 'wobble' base-pairing, i.e. permitting non-standard base-pairing at the 3rd anti-codon position. NCBI's taxonomy places the organism in Eukaryota, Metazoa, Chordata, Mammalia, Artiodactyla, Camelidae. The record is from Rfam.
GGGGUUAUGGUUCAAGUGGUAGAGCCCAUGCUUAGCAUGCACGAGGUCCUGGGUUCAAUCCCCAGCACCUCCA